Molecule: ribosomal RNA, 194 nt
Filed under: uncultured eukaryote
Lineage: Eukaryota
Description: partial 18S ribosomal RNA
Rfam family: Eukaryotic small subunit ribosomal RNA
Source: RNAcentral
CUAACCUGGUUGAUCCUGCCAGUAGCAUACGCUUGUCUCAAAGAUUAAGCCAUGCAUGUCUAAGUAUAAACGCUUUUAUACUGUGAAACUGCGAAUGGCUCAUUAUAUCAGUUAUAGUUUAUUUGAUGGUCCUUGCUACUUGGAUAACCGUAGUAAUUCUAGAGCUAAUACAUGCACUAAACCCCAACUUCUGG